Molecule: small nucleolar RNA, 102 nt
Filed under: Cephalotus follicularis
Lineage: Eukaryota; Viridiplantae; Streptophyta; Magnoliopsida; Oxalidales; Cephalotaceae
Description: Plant small nucleolar RNA R71
Rfam family: Plant small nucleolar RNA R71
About the family: R71 is a member of the C/D box family of snoRNAs containing the C (UGAUGA) and D (CUGA) box motifs. Multiple nearly identical copies of this snoRNA have been identified in Arabidopsis, and it is thought to function as a 2'-O-ribose methylation guide for 18S ribosomal RNA.
Source: Rfam by way of RNAcentral
ACGGCACGAUGGGGACAUUUUCGGAUGAGAUCCUUUAAUCUUUCCCAUGAUUCAUGGAACUGGUCACGAUCGUGCUAUGAAAAGCUAGUGAGAACUCACCUU